GGGGCUGGCUUUCUUGAUUAGAAUGCACUUGCGUACACCCAACUCUCUGUACCACCCAUUGUAACACGUGUGUAGCCCCGGACGUAAGGGCCGUGCUGAUUUGACGUCAUCCCCACCUUCCUCACACCUUACGGUGGCAGUGUCUCCAGAGUGCCCAGCAUAACCUGAUGGCAACUGAAGAGAGGGGUUGCGCUCGUUAUGGCACUUAAGCCGACACCUCACGGCACGAGCUGACGACAACCAUGCAGCACCUCCAUAGGCGCCCCGAAGGGCCUCACCAUCUCUGGAUCGUUCGCCUACAGUUCAAGCCCGGGUAAGGUUCCUCGCGUAUCAUCGAAUUAAACCACAUGUUCCUCCGCUUGUGCGGGCCCCCGUCAAUUCCUUUGAGUUUCACCGUUGCCGGCGUACUCCCC
RNAcentral lists this ribosomal RNA (413 nucleotides) under uncultured bacterium. Its description in RNAcentral is "partial 16S ribosomal RNA". The record is from RNAcentral.